Non-coding RNA from Phrynosoma platyrhinos (Desert horned lizard), 72 nucleotides. The record is from the annotation of a GenBank genome assembly. NCBI's taxonomy places the organism in Eukaryota, Metazoa, Chordata, Lepidosauria, Squamata, Phrynosomatidae.
GCCAGUGUGGUAUAGUGGUUUGAGUGUUGGACUACAACUCUGGAGACCAGGGUUUGAUUCCCAGCUCAGCCA